This 803-nucleotide long non-coding RNA is filed under the name Medicago truncatula (barrel medic). RNAcentral's name for it is "long non-coding RNA (MTRU_LNC006700)". Lineage: Eukaryota; Viridiplantae; Streptophyta; Magnoliopsida; Fabales; Fabaceae. The record is from RNAcentral.
UUUUUGAAGUAUUUGAUUACUGUUCUUCAAUUAUACAUAAAUGUACUAGAAAGUGUUAUGGCCUUGAACAUUCCAAAAACUCAAACAGGACCAAUUGAACUCAAAGAAAUGGAUACAAGUGUGCUUCGAAGAGUAAAAUAAAUUGGAUAUGUAUCCUCCAUAAAUUAUGUUCUGCUAUAACAAAUCAAACACUUCAGGAUCACUAGCAUGUAGUAAAAUAAAUUGUAUCUGAAAAAUGAAAAAGAAAUUGGAUCUGGAGAAUGAAAAAGAAAUUGGAUCUGGAGAAUGAAAAUAGACAAGAGAAAAGUUUUUGAUCUAGAAACAACAACAACAACAACAACAUUCAUCACCAUAAAAGACCUGGAAAAUGAAAAUACAACAGAGAAAAAGUUGUUUCAUUCAUAGAUCUAGGCCCAUACUCCGGCGAUGAUGGGCAGUGGUGGUAACUACCGUCGUUCCUCAUAACAAGAUCUUGAUUUUUUUCGAAUCUGGUGAGCUGAAUUCUUGAACGUUGUUGGUGGUGGUGAGUGAAGAGAGGACGAGGGCGUUCAAGGGAGGAUGAGGACGAUGAGUGAUGUCGACGGCAAGAAGAGUGGGGAUGGACGCAUAUUUGAGAUGGUUGGUUUGAUGCUAUUUCCGGUGGUGAAUAGUGGGAAUGGAGGAGAGAGAAGAGUGAUGGGAGAGAGUGUGAAAAAUAUCUAGUGUUAAGAGUCUAUGAUAAUACCAUGUUCUUUAUUUAAUUUAAUAGUCAAAAUCAACUUUCCUAUGGUGGGAAACUAGUUCCAUUUCCCAUGUUAAAUGGC